GGUAGUCGCAUAGCGGCGGGACUACACAUGCAAGUCGUAGCAAGGUAACCAAGCUUGCUCCGCUGACGACCGGCGCACGGGUGCGCACCGCGUAUGGAACCUACCUUGUACAGGGGAAUAGCCCAGGGAAACUUGGAUUAAUGCCCCGUGGUACCAUGACCCGGCAUCGGGAUAUGGUUAAAGCCUUCGGGCGGUACAAGAUGGCCAUGCGUCCCAUUAGUUUGUUGGUAAGGUAACGGCUUACCAAGACUACGAUGGGUAGGGGCCCUGAGAGGGGGAUCCCCCACACUGGUACUGAGACACGGACCAGACUCCUACGGGAGGCAGCAGUGAGGAAUAUUGGACAAUGGAGGAGACUCUGAUCCAGCCAUGCCGCGUGCAGGAAGAAUGCCCUAUGGGUAGUAAACUGCUUUUAUACGGGAAGAAAAAGAGCUACGUGUAGCUUACUGACGGUACCGUAAGAAUAAGGACCGGCUAACUCCGUGCCAGCAGCCGCGGUAAUACGGAGGGUCCGAGCGUUAUCCGGAAUUAUUGGGUUUAAAGGGUCCGUAGGCGGGCCGAUAAGUCAGGGGUGAAAGUCUGCCGCUCAACGGUAGAACUGCCUUUGAUACUGUCGGUCUUGAGUUAUAGUGAAGUUGCCGGAAUAUGUAGUGUAGCGGUGAAAUGCAUAGAUAUUACAUAGAACACCGAUUGCGAAGGCAGGUGACUAACUAUAUACUGACGCUGAUGGACGAAAGCGUGGGGAGCGAACAGGAUUAGAUACCCUGGUAGUCCACGCCGUAAACGAUGGAUACUAGCUGUCCGGAACCUUGAGUUCUGGGCGGCCAAGCGAAAGUGAUAAGUAUCCCACCUGGGGGAGUACGUUCGCAAGAAUGAAACUCAAAAGGAAUUGACGGGGGCCCGCACAAGCGGUGGAGCAUGUGGUUUAAUUCAAUGAUACCCCAAGGAACCUUACCAAGGCCUUAAAAUGCAUAUUUGACAAGGUCUAAAAGAUAGAAUUUUCCUUUCGGGGCAAUUUGGCAAGGGGGCUGCAAGGGUUGG
RNAcentral lists this ribosomal RNA (1041 nucleotides) under Flavobacterium sp. Mexcell3.2. Its description in RNAcentral is "bacterial SSU rRNA". It matches the Rfam family "Bacterial small subunit ribosomal RNA", at positions 28 to 1052 of the family's 1533-position model. Lineage: Bacteria; Pseudomonadati; Bacteroidota; Flavobacteriia; Flavobacteriales; Flavobacteriaceae. The record is from RNAcentral.